AUUGAACGCUGGCGGCGUGCCUAACACAUGCAAGUCGAGCGGUAACAGGUGUAGCAAUACACGCUGACGAGCGGCGGACGGGUGAGUAACGCUUGGGAAUCUGCCUGUUAGUGGGGGACAACCCGGGGAAACUCGGGCUAAUACCGCAUACGCACUACGGUGGAAAGCCGGGGACCGCAAGGCCUGGCGCUAACAGAUGAGCCCAAGUCGGAUUAGCUAGUUGGUAGGGUAACGGCCUACCAAGGCGACGAUCCGUAACUGGUCUGAGAGGACGACCAGUCACACCGGAACUGAGACACGGUCCGGACUCCUACGGGAGGCAGCAGUGGGGAAUAUUGGACAAUGGGCGAAAGCCUGAUCCAGCGACGCCGCGUGGGUGAAGAAGGCCUGCGGGUUGUAAACCUCUUUUCUCAGGGAAGAUACAAGACGGUACCUGAGGAAUAAGCCACGGCUAACUACGUGCCAGCAGCCG
Molecule: ribosomal RNA, 472 nt
Filed under: uncultured bacterium
Lineage: Bacteria
Description: bacterial SSU rRNA
Rfam family: Bacterial small subunit ribosomal RNA
Source: RNAcentral